UAACGGCGAGUGAAGCGGCAACAGCUCAAAUUUGAAAUCUGGCCCUCUCGGGGUCCGAGAUUGUAAUUUGGAGAAGAUGCUUCGGGCGUGGCGCCGGUCUAAGUUCCUUGGAACAGGACGUCAUAGAGGGUGAGAAUCCCGUACGUGACUGUGCGCCUACGCUCGUGUGAAGCUCUUUCGACNAGUCGAGUUGUUUGGGAAUGCAGCUCAAAAUGGGUGGUAAAUUUCAUCUAAAGCUAAAUAUGGGCCAGAGACCGAUAGCGCACAAGUAGAGUGAUCGAAAGAUGAAAAGCACUUUGGAAAGAGAGUUAAACAGCACGUGAAAUUGUUGAAAGGGAAGCGCUCGCCACCAGACCUGCGCGCGACCGAUCAUCCGGGGUUCUCCCCGGUGCACUCGGUCGCGCCCAGGCCAGCAUCGGUUCGGGUGGUCGGACAAAGGUCGUGGGAACGUAGCUCCUCUCGGGGAGUGUUAUAGCCCGCGGCGCCAUGCGACCCACCGGGACCGAGGACCGCGCUUCGGCUAGGAUGCUGGCGUAAUGGUUGUGAGCGACCCGUCUUGAAACACGGACCAAGGAGUCUAAUAUUUAUGCGAGUAUUUGGGUGUCAAACCCAGGUGCGCAAUGAAAGUGAACGGAGGUGAGAACCCGUCAGGGCCCAUCAUCGACCGAUCCUGAUGUCUUCGGAUGGAUUUGAGUAGGAGCAUAGCUAUUGGGACCCGAAAAAGAGUGAACUUUAC
This 736-nucleotide ribosomal RNA is filed under the name uncultured fungus. Its description in RNAcentral is "LSU rRNA". It matches the Rfam family "Eukaryotic large subunit ribosomal RNA", at positions 84 to 836 of the family's 3401-position model. Lineage: Eukaryota; Fungi. The record is from RNAcentral.